UUGUAUUCAUAAUUGUCUAUGCUGAAGGUCACGGUGAUUACAUGGCGUCGAACAGUUUGUACGGUGAGACGAGUGGCUCUGGGUAAGUGCGAAGGCAACACCCAUCUAAAAGUCUGAAGCAAUGUGGCAACAUCUGUUAAGCAAUCUGUCUUUGACUUUACAUUUGUGGCCUUCCUUGGCGAACUCCUUAUUGCUGGGCUCUGCAACACACUAUCCGCCAACGACUCCGCUAAGGAAAGCAUCGCGCCUCGCUGCUCCAACGCCCAGGCAAAAUAACAACACAACAAACCGACCAUUGGACAAUUGGAAGUCGCUGGACGCGACUGAUAGGCGAUAAUGCUGCCACUUGACGGCAUUCUUGCAGAACCGCUCAUCAUGUUGAGCGCGACGACAUUUUCUGUUUUGCGCUUCAUCCGGCGGCCAUGCGCGACGCGCUAAAACACUAAGCGGAUCGUCUACCCGCACACGCGUUUGAUUCUGCACUUGGCGACAACUUUCUCGUUUGGGGCACCAGCUUACACUUUUGAGAAGUAUCAUGCAUGGCGAAUAAUUGGCCGGCAAACCCGCAGAACGACCUGCCCCUAUCCGUGAUUCGGCUGUCGGAAGGGUACCAGCGUUAUGGCGCAUAGCCGCAACCCACGCUAGCCGGAUGGCCACAACUUCCGGUGUAAUGUGUUGGUGAACCUGGUCGACCUCAUCUCCAUUAUCCCACUGAUGCGGGCGUCAGGCAGCCCCAAAGAGCCCCUUCGCCAUCGCUUUCAUAUGUGGCACUCUUCUCUCCUCCACAACCUCUCACACCUUUCCUUUCCAAAGAGCAAAACCACAAGCAGGCCCAAGCACAAUCAAUGCCUCGCCUUGUCGUCCGGCGGACUCCAGCUGUUAGACCUCCUGUAGGAUAUCCGCAGACGGCUCCAACCACAGUCCCACCAGUCGCCGUUACCCAGCAGCGCCUUUGCGACUCCACUGCUUCUCCUCAAUUUCGACCGCAACCUCAGCGACCUCUAUUUAGGAAGGGGCUGUGCCUCCCUCCCCCUCCUCACGUAUCAGCACCACACGUCUGUGGUUCUUCUUCCGCCCUCCUCCUCCUCUUCCUCCUCUGUUCUAAUCUAAUUACCUACUUUACCUCACCCAACAACACAAAGCCUCAAUAACAAUCGUUUUGCUAAAUAUAAACCCUGUCUUCCCAUUCCUUGGCAGCGCACAAACGCACAUGCGCACAUAUCGAGGCCCUCAGUUCAUCUGUACGCACUUCAAAAUUCAAAACUCCACCACCCGUAAUCGCAUCUUUAUUCACCGCCCCAUGGAUACUUCCCCCUCCAAACAUCAAAAUCGAUGCUCCUCCACAAAAAGCCCACAAGCCUUUUUACUCGGCGCGCCGGACAAUGAUCUGACCCACCAUCGCGUCAUGUCCCUUAACGGUGCAGCGCAGAGGGUACUUUCCGGGCUUCAUGGGAAUGAAGACCCAGGUAGCGGAGGCGCCCGCCUUCAGCGCCACCUCCUGAAUCCCUCCCUUGACCUCCACCGCCGGAUCUCCAGCUAGGACUAAGAUCGAGAAAACCUGGUGAAAUACAGCAGGGGAUUGUAUCACACGCGCGACCAGGGAACGCGACCGAGGGGGAGAGAUGGAGCCGCUUUUAGAGUCCCACCGG
RNAcentral lists this long non-coding RNA (1649 nucleotides) under Volvox carteri. RNAcentral's name for it is "long non-coding RNA (VCAR_LNC001817)". The record is from RNAcentral. Lineage: Eukaryota; Viridiplantae; Chlorophyta; Chlorophyceae; Chlamydomonadales; Volvocaceae.